Molecule: non-coding RNA, 21 nt
Filed under: Caenorhabditis elegans
Lineage: Eukaryota; Metazoa; Nematoda; Chromadorea; Rhabditida; Rhabditidae
Source: RNAcentral
UGCGUUGAAGACUACUCCUGA